GAACCUUUUGAUCUUUUGGGGGGACAGGAAAUCAAAACCAAUCUCUUCCUUGCUUACUUCAGGGAACAGGGAGUGGAAGGAACGGAGUGAUGAUGAGAAAGAGACACUGAGGUGCAGAAAAACAAGAAAGUGGAUUUUUGCAAGAGCAGCAGCAAAAUCAAGGGAAGAUACACAACAAAAUGGACUCAGGUGCAAAACGGUGCAUGGAGAGGUUCAGGAUGAAGAGGCAGAGGAAGGGAUUUCCAUAGUGUGGAGCAUAACAUCUCUGUAAAAGCAGGGGAGGGACAGCUGGUUGGAUUCACCUCUAGCCCUGGGUACAAACCCUACCACCGCACUUUUCCCAAGGGACCAAGCUUUCCAUGUGGUGAGGGCCCCACGGUCUGCCCUAUUGACAGCUUUUCUCUCGGUGCCCCCAUAUCAGAUCUGUCCCAGCCACGUUCACUGAACACAUCAAGAGGUGGGUGGGAGCCACAGCCUCCACCCUCCAAGCCGCCUUCCAGAGCCUCCAGCAAGUAACAGCAAGCAGGAAUUUAGAAGCAGCUUUUCCUGACAACGGAAGUCAUAUUUUGUUUUGAAAACAUCCCUGUGCUUGUGGAAAAAGCUAAAAUAAAAACUCCAUGCCCA
RNAcentral lists this long non-coding RNA (624 nucleotides) under Anas platyrhynchos platyrhynchos (common mallard). Its description in RNAcentral is "lncRNA (ENSAPLG00000021338.1)". The record is from RNAcentral. Lineage: Eukaryota; Metazoa; Chordata; Aves; Anseriformes; Anatidae.